ACUUAUAUAAUUCAUACAGAAUAUUGCAUUGAAGCUGCAAAAGAGGUUAAAAAAUCUAUAGGUAC
RNAcentral lists this transfer RNA (65 nucleotides) under Umalia orientalis. RNAcentral's name for it is "tRNA-Phe". The record is from RNAcentral. Lineage: Eukaryota; Metazoa; Arthropoda; Malacostraca; Decapoda; Raninidae.